GUUGAACUUUGAUCCAGGCAGACUGACCUCAGUUUUACCCAUCUGUAGAACAUGGCAGAGUAGCGGCUGCCAUGUAUGAUGACUUUACUACUAUCAUUUGUGUGAUGCAUGCUCAGUAAUACCAAAAAUAACAAUGUUUAUGGAGAAGAGAUGGUCAUUAGUCUGCAUUCUCCUGGGCUCAGGACUAAAAAGGAUUUGAGCAGGUAGCUGGUCAGUUUAUUUGCUACCCUUUCAAAUGGAUGGAAAUAAAACUAAGCCGGAUGUUUUUACGGAUUGAUCCCCUUGUGUGUUUUGCAGCCAAACCCGAGUAUAUCGGGUCACAAGUGACAUGAGGAGGGAUGCGAAGCAAGAGAGGCUGGACAAAGUGAGGAACAGCAUCUCCAGGGUCAUGUUUGAAGCAAUUAAUGACGCUGACAGCAGCCAGUCCAGCACUAGUCUUCACACCUCAAACUCAAUGUUUUAGACACGAGCAGGUAACAAAGCUUACUUCCAGCUAAUCCUUCUUCUCCCCUUCCCUCUUUGUGUUGUCCACUUCCAUUACCAAAAUCUAAGUCUAGAUUAGAAACAAUAAAGAAGAACUGUGAUUAGGGGCUCA
This 595-nucleotide long non-coding RNA is filed under the name Pogona vitticeps (central bearded dragon). RNAcentral's name for it is "lncRNA (ENSPVIG00000004738.1)". Lineage: Eukaryota; Metazoa; Chordata; Lepidosauria; Squamata; Agamidae. The record is from RNAcentral.